AAAAAGGCCCUUUUCAGGGCUACCAAACAAUAAUAUAUUAUUAACUU
RNAcentral lists this non-coding RNA (47 nucleotides) under Cinara cedri. It matches the Rfam family "Histone 3' UTR stem-loop". From Rfam's summary of the family: The mRNAs of metazoan histone genes lack a poly-A tail. 3' end processing occurs at a site between a highly conserved stem-loop (modelled by this family) and a purine rich region around 20 nts downstream (the histone downstream element, or HDE). The record is from RNAcentral. Lineage: Eukaryota; Metazoa; Arthropoda; Insecta; Hemiptera; Aphididae.